Seriola aureovittata is the source of this 808-nucleotide long non-coding RNA. RefSeq lists it as uncharacterized. The record is from RefSeq and is a predicted model, not a curated record. The transcript is spliced from 3 exons. Lineage: Eukaryota; Metazoa; Chordata; Actinopteri; Carangiformes; Carangidae.
GGACAGUCUGUCAGUCAACAAACAGCAGUCUAUGAAAGUCUCUGCAGACCUGGACCAGUACAGACUGAUCCAGUCUGCUCUCCUGGAAACAUUAUCCAACAUAUUUAUGUCUGAGUCAAAUUAUCUUGUGACACAGAGAAAACUAAGACUAAAAGACUGAAUAAUUAUUAAAACGACUGGAUCCACGGGAGGAGCUUCACCAAUCAUCCUGUGAAACUCUUGAUUGAUGAUCUGGCAACACUGAAAAUCACGUGACUCUAAUGAGGUUUAUUCUGGCUGCAGCCUGAGUUUGAUCAAUUAAAACCCAUGUAAUAUUUAAUAUUUCAUCACACAGGUGCAGGAGAGAGGUGACACUGCUCUGACAUGAACUCGUGUAUUAAUACAUUCAGUUAUUAAAUACAGUGCAUCUCUAAGCGGCCUGCAGCACGAGCCACGUCCGUGUUCUGGACUCUAACGUGCGGACGCUGGUGCAGCCGCUGAUGUCGACCUCGGGAUGUUUGACCGGAAACGAAUAAAAUCCUCACGGCUCCAUCGUGUGUCUCUGUCCGACAGGAAGGACCUGAUCCGCCGGACGUUUGGUCCCCUGUUCACAGAUUGGCUGCAGCUGCUGUAGCUGCAGUCUGUCCGUCCAAUCAAGUGGAUGCUACCUGAGACCAACCAUCAACCUCUGAGACUGAAACAUAAAGCAGCAACAUGGAAGCUGCAGUUCCUCUAACGGCCACUAGAGUCUGGCUCCAGCAGUGAGUCAGUCCCCACAGACUCCCAUGUUAAAAUGUCCAACUUUACAGCAGAAAUAAACAUGUUUACA